CGCGGAAUGGAGCAGUAUGGUAGCUCGUCGGGCUCAUAACCCGAAGGUCGUGGGUUCAAGUCCCUCUUCCGCAACCA
Molecule: transfer RNA, 77 nt
Filed under: Candidatus Paraimprobicoccus trichonymphae
Lineage: Bacteria; Bacillati; Bacillota; Clostridia
Description: tRNA-Met
Rfam family: tRNA
About the family: Transfer RNA (tRNA) molecules are approximately 80 nucleotides in length. Their secondary structure includes four short double-helical elements and three loops (D, anti-codon, and T loops).
Source: RNAcentral